GACUAUAUUGAUCGACGAUAUUAGACAAAUAUUGUGGGUUGUGAUUUGUGGUUCUUGAUUAGGUGUCGACAAACCAAUAUUUGCGAAGCAAAUCUACCAUCUCACUCCGGCAACUCUUCACAGGUUUUUGUAUGGUGGAGAUUUUGUGGUGAUGGCUGUGGUGUUUUGUAUGGUGGCUGUGAUGAUGUUUGUGAGGUGGCGAAUUUGGGUGGUGUUUAUGUGGUGGCGAUUUUGAGUGGUGUUUUGUGUGGUGGCGGCUUUAUAGUGGUGGCCAUGGUGGUAGAUCUGGCAGUUGCAGUGUGGUGGUGGUAUGUUGGUGUGCAGUGCCUCAGUGUCACUGUCUGUGCG
This 348-nucleotide long non-coding RNA is filed under the name Olea europaea (common olive). RNAcentral's name for it is "long non-coding RNA (OEUR_LNC007131)". The record is from RNAcentral. Lineage: Eukaryota; Viridiplantae; Streptophyta; Magnoliopsida; Lamiales; Oleaceae.